UUGACCUCGAAUCAGGUAGGGAUACCCGCUGAACUUAAGCAUAUCAAUAAGCGGAGGAAAAGAAACCAACAGGGAUUACCUCAGUAACGGCGAGUGAAGCGGC
This 103-nucleotide ribosomal RNA is filed under the name Blumeria bulbigera. RNAcentral's name for it is "partial 28S ribosomal RNA". It matches the Rfam family "Eukaryotic large subunit ribosomal RNA", at positions 1 to 102 of the family's 3401-position model. Lineage: Eukaryota; Fungi; Ascomycota; Leotiomycetes; Helotiales; Erysiphaceae. The record is from RNAcentral.